GGAAAAGAAANUAACAAGGAUUCCCCUAGUAACUGMGAGUGAAGCGGGAAGAGCUCAAAUUUGAAAUCUGGCGGUUCCGCCGUCCGAGUUGUAAUCUGGAGAAGCGUUUUCCGUGCCGGACCGUGUACAAGUCCCUUGGAACAGGGCGUCAUAGAGGGUGAGAAUCCCGUCUUUGACACGGACUCCCGGUGCUCUGCGAUGCGCUCUCGAAGAGUCGAGUUGUUUGGGAAUGCAGCUCAAAAUGGGUGGUAAAUUCCAUCUAAAGCUAAAUAUUGGCGAGAGACCGAUAGCGAACAAGUACCGUGAGGGAAAGAUGAAAAGCACUUUGGAAAGAGAGUAAAACAGUACGUGAAAUUGUUGAAAGGGAAACGCUUGAAGUCAGUCGCGUCUUCUGGGACUCAGCCUUGCUCUGCUCGGUGCACUUCCCAGUUUGACGGGUCAGCAUCGGCUCUGGGGGGCGGACAAAGGCGCGGGGAAGGUGGCAGCUCCGGCUGCGUUAUAGCCCCGCGUUACGCGUCCCCCGGGACCGAGGAAUCCGGCGCUCGCGCCUGGGAUGCUGGCGYAAUGGCUUUAAACGACCCGUCU
RNAcentral lists this ribosomal RNA (585 nucleotides) under Subulicystidium boidinii. RNAcentral describes it as "LSU rRNA". It matches the Rfam family "Eukaryotic large subunit ribosomal RNA", at positions 55 to 654 of the family's 3401-position model. The record is from RNAcentral. Lineage: Eukaryota; Fungi; Basidiomycota; Agaricomycetes; Trechisporales; Hydnodontaceae.